Long non-coding RNA from Pecten maximus, 2873 nucleotides. RefSeq lists it as uncharacterized. NCBI's taxonomy places the organism in Eukaryota, Metazoa, Mollusca, Bivalvia, Pectinida, Pectinidae. The record is from RefSeq and is a predicted model, not a curated record. The transcript has 2 exons.
CAUAACUAGUCUCGACUUCACCACGGAUUUCCCUUCCACGACCAGACGGCGGCCAAUUGGCUGGUUUAUCUCGACAUCGAGGUUAAGGUCUCACCGGGGUCGCUAGGGACACAAUUACGGAAACCCAUCAAGGGAGCCGAGACAUUCGAAAUGAGUUGAAACGAAAGUAGAAUUGAGAAGGGGAGAUGCAUUUACCCCAUAGUUAAAUUCUUACGUUUGAUUAAGGUACGAUAUUUCUAAAUGGAUAUGAUGUACAUGUACGUGUGUGGCGCCGGUUCCCCUAACCAUAGAUUUGUAAACAUGGCAUACAGGGUAACGACGAACCUCGAGUCCGGACAGCAGAUAAUCUCCACCCAGGAAUCUCAAAGGAUGGCACAAGACACAAAAUGGAAUCGAAAAGAACUUUUCAUAGCUAGGUUUCCCACUGAAACAAAAUGAAUAUUCAUUGCAUCAAUGAUAAAACAUUUCAUGUAACCAGCUUUGCGUGUAUAUUGUUUUUAAUCUCAAUUGAUCACGAGCGCGUGUGUACGGACAUUGCUACUAUUGUGUUGAAGGACUUUCUGAACUAUGAUUAAGGAAUACAAUGGAAUAUUAUCUGAGGCAUACUGAUACUUUGUAUGACUGAAAUGGUAUCAGAUAUACACGGAUCGAUGUUAAUAAGAUUAUAUAACUUGCUACAUCAUAUACAUGCAUCGAAACUAAGAAUGAAAAAAAAAAAUUAUUUCAAAGUUCGGUUCCCCCAAAAUGUCCCAGCAUGCACACUCAGUCGAACUCCCUGUAAAAGUACUGGCGUAACUCAUCUGAUAGGGACCAAGAAUUCCGAUGUGUGUCUUAUAACAGCAUACGAAUUGAUAGCAAAGUUAAAGGCCGAUCGAUGAAAAUAGUAUCUUUACUAGUAAUCUUGAUCUAAACAUCCGGUGUCAAUUUAAGCCACAAUUUGAUUGGUCAGUCACCCUUAACGUAAAUAUACACUUAAUUGACAACAGUUUAUGAACGAAAGUUUUGGAUAGAUAUUUAUAAAGAACAUAAGUGUGUAUAAAUUUAGAAUGAAUAUGGAUAAUAUUGUGAGUUAAUUUCCGGAAACCAUUAUCAUAAAAUUAUAAGAUACAUAAAAAGUGACUUGGAAAAAUAAACUUUAAUUUAUGUGAAAGAAAAUGCGUUUAUAUAAAUGUAUGUAUAAAGAUAUGUAUUUCAACUUCAAAUGAUAGGUAUUGUCCUAUUACCAUUGAUAGUACUAAGAGGUUUGGAGACACCGUUCAACACCGUCUAGCCGAUUUGAAUGUUUUAAAGAUUUUAUCACAUAAAAGUGAAAUGAUGGUUUUUAAAAAAAGAGAUCGUCAGUUACCAAGUGUUAUCUAGUUAAAUUAUUGAAACUAUAAUAUUUUAAUUUUAUGAUUGAGUUUAAGAUACCUGAGAUUCGGGUCUUGAUUCCAACGCGACAGGGACAUUGUGAAACACUUCAGUUGAUAGCCCGAUGGUCACGUGACCGACAUUACUCUUUAGAUCGAGAUGUAUUGUCGACAGUGAUAGCGAUCUUGCAAUUUGAAACGGAUACUUCUAUGAAUUAGUUCUAAUGUCAAAAACAUGAUUUAUUGUAAUUUUGUAUGUUGUGUCAUAUGAAUUUGAUAGAGGACUACCAUAUCAUUUGUACCUAAUAACUAAGACAUCAGAAACAAACGUAUUAUUUCCAUUCGAGGCGAUAAACUGCCGGCUCCUAAUCCUAAAGAAUAAACAAACAGUAGUUUUUAAUGACCUGAAAUCGACAAACCAAUGUACGAGCUAGCAUAUAUACGGAAGCACAAUAAAACAACAUUUGUAAUUGUCCAACAUCACAAUCCGUUUAUUACUUUUAGCCUUACGGCCAAUCAGUCAAAAAGAAAAAAAAUUAUACGGCAUGGCAACCGUAUAGAGAAUGAGAUAUACAUUAUACAAACGUCGACUGAUGUAUGCACGUGUUAAACAACAAAUAUAUACUACCGAUAUGAAACGAAACCGUUACUCUAAAUUGAUGAGAUUUGGGCAAAUCAUUAAUAAAAUAUAGAGCUGUAUAAAGAUCAUUCAACAAUUAUUAGAUUCUGUGUCCGCCUGAAACAUAGGAUACCAUGGAAAGGCAUGAGGAACAAACAACAUUUAAAGUUACAAACAAGAUCUAUCAACAACAACAGCAUUGUCUAUGGUCUUGAUGUGAAUUAACAAUAAGAAAUCAUUCUAAGAAUAAUAAACAAACACAACAACAAUUGGCAACAUACAGACAUUAUUUUACAUGUAUGCAAGUUAAGUGUGUAUUUUUAAAGGAAUUGAAAGUCACAUGAAAUGCAUAUUAAAUAAUAAAUGCAAUGUCCAAUACAGGAAUACCUCCUUGCAGUUUUCGGAGAGGAGAUAAUGGCGAGAAGACAUAAGACAAUACGAUAAAAUAAUUCAGAGGUCAACACUAGUUCUGCACAAUAAAUAAUUAAUAUAUAAAAUAGCAUCAUACAGCUGUCUCUUCUCUGUGUUAAUUGUGUAAAUAGAGACGAGCCACCAGGUUACCAAUAUCGACAUUACGUCGGUAUAAUAUAUAAAAGAAGGUACAUUAAGACGAGUAUAUUUUGUAAAAUGUCUGAUAAACUCUAAACGAGAAAUGCGUGAUUAUAUCCUGAACAGGUGACACUAUCAAUAAAAAUAAACACAUGAUUUUUAAAAUUGUAUUCAGAUCUUUCUCUGGAAAGUUUUAUGUCGUAAUACUUGUAUCUCUCCUCAAAAAGGUCAAUGCAUAUUUAAUUCAACGCAGCCCAAUAAUAAUACCACAAAAGUAUUGGUGUAUUAUUAUUGUCUGCUUCAGUUAGUCGGAGAAUUGAUGAUGGCGAGAAGAAAAUUAAACAAAAAAAAAUCUC